RNAcentral lists this ribosomal RNA (254 nucleotides) under uncultured bacterium. RNAcentral describes it as "partial 16S ribosomal RNA". It matches the Rfam family "Bacterial small subunit ribosomal RNA", at positions 524 to 776 of the family's 1533-position model. The record is from RNAcentral.
UACGUAGGGCGCAAGCGUUGUCCGGAUUUACUGGGUUUAAAGGGUGCGUAGGCGGUCUUUUAAGUCUGUGAUGAAAUGCUCGGGCUCAACUCGCAGCGCUGUUACAGAUACUGAUUGACUUGAGAUAGGACGAGGUGGUUGGAAUGAGCGGUGUAGCGGUGAAAUGCGUAGAGAUCGCUCAGAACACCCAUUGCGAAGGCAGAUCACUAGACCUAUUCUGACGCUGAGGCACGAAAGCGUGGGGAGCAAACAGG